RNAcentral lists this ribosomal RNA (464 nucleotides) under uncultured bacterium. RNAcentral's name for it is "partial 16S ribosomal RNA". It matches the Rfam family "Bacterial small subunit ribosomal RNA", at positions 28 to 507 of the family's 1533-position model. The record is from RNAcentral.
GACGAACGCUGGCGGCGUGCUUAACACAUGCAAGUCGAACGGAAAGGCCCAGCUUGCUGGGUGCUCGAGUGGCGAACGGGUGAGUAACACGUGGGUGAUCUGCCUCUAACUUCGGGAUAAGCUUGGGAAACUGGGUCUAAUACCGGAUAGGACAAUCGUUUAGUGUCGGUUGUGGAAAGUUUUUUCGGUUAGGGAUGAGCCCGCGGCCUAUCAGCUUGUUGGUGGGGUAAUGGCCUACCAAGGCGUCGACGGGUAGCCGGCCUGAGAGGGUGGACGGCCACAUUGGGACUGGGAUACGGCCCAGACUCCUACGGGAGGCAGCAGUGGGGAAUAUUGCACAAUGGGCGCAAGCCUGAUGCAGCGACGCCGCGUGGGGGAUGACGGCCUUCGGGUUGUAAACCUCUUUCGACAGGGACGAAGCUUUGGUGACGGUACCUGUAGAAGAAGCACCGGCUAACUACGUG